GGAGGAAACAUACUCCAAGGAAACUGUGUCUGUAGCAUGAGUCGGUUUGUCCUGUUCUUUUGUGUUCCUUGGACUUGAGCACUGUUUCCCAUCUGGUUUUCUAAUGUCACCAAGUGAAGAAAAGGCCUGUGCACACAGCACACAGCCUGGUCUGGCGCUCACAGCAAUAUGUUUUCUGUGAUUACAGGAGGCCUGGAGAGAGCAGGAGAGUGGUAUGUAUGGGGGAAUCCCUCCCGUGUGAAUGAGGAAUCCAGGUGAUGAGGAAUGUGCCGCCGUCUCGCUGGCUUUCCUGCACACAGGCAGCCGGAGUGGAGCUUCCUGUUGUGACUGAGGACCAGGCUGUGGUGGUGAAGUGGUUGCUCCAGCGUGUUCCAUCCAGGAUGAAGUAGUGGAUCCUGAGGUGCCCAGGAAAUCCCCCGUCAGACACCACCACAGGCAUAAGGAGCGAAUCCUCCAUCACUGGCAUCGCAGCCGUGUACACCCUAGAGUUGCAUCAACGGAAGAUCAGGAUGAGGACCUGGUGCUGGAGCCUUCAUCUGAGGAUGUCCCAGGCAUUUACAUGGUAAGGUCUUCUUUAUGUUUCUAAGAUGGAAAUGUUGUUGCUCUUGGUUCUUUUUUAUUUGAUUUGAAUUGAGAUAUAAAAAUCUUAUCAUGUACAUUAUAGAUGACUUACAGAAUUUUUUGGUGAGAAAACGUGAGGGUUCAUUACCAGGUAAGAAAUGAUCUCAGAUGGCAUUCUUAGAUGACACCUUCGGUUACUAACUGUAUGGCAGAAAGAAUUUUUUUAGGGGAAAAGCUUUCUUCUUAUAACAUUGUGACUAUACAAUCAAAACAGUCUUGGAAGUCUUGCAUAAAAACCGUGUGCCUUUCCAGAAAGGUCUUCCAGGCUUUAUUUUGGGACCGUUGCCUCAACCGCUGCCUCCCACCUGCUUUUUCAACGUCACCAAGUAAAGAAAAGAUCUGUAUGGUGAAACCCCACCUCCACUAAAAAUACAAAAAUUAGCCGGGCGUGCUGACCGGCUA
Molecule: long non-coding RNA, 1023 nt
Organism: Cercocebus atys (sooty mangabey)
Lineage: Eukaryota; Metazoa; Chordata; Mammalia; Primates; Cercopithecidae
Exons: 3
Source: RefSeq, a predicted model, not a curated record